CCUACGGGGGGCUGCAGUGGGGAAUAUUGCACAAUGGGCGCAAGCCUGAUGCAGCCAUGCCGCGUGUGUGAAGAGGGCCUUCGGGUUGUAAAGCACUUUCAGCGGGGAGGAAGGCGGUGAGGUUAAUAACCUCAUCGAUCGACGUUACCCGCAGAAGAAGCACCGGCUAACUCCGUGCCAGCAGCCGCGGUCAUACGGAGGGUGCAAGCGUUAAUCGGAAUUACUGGGCGUAAAGCGCACGCAGGCGGUCUGUCAAGUCGGAUGUGAAAUCCCCGGGCUCAACCUGGGAACUGCAUUCGAAACUGGCAGGCUAGAGUCUUGUAGAGGGGGGUAGAAUUCCAGGUGUAGCGGUGAAAUGCGUAGAGAUCUGGAGGAAUACCGGUGGCGAAGGCGGCCCCCUGGACAAAGACUGACGCUCAGGUGCGAAAGCGUGGGGAGCAAACAGGAUUAGAUACCCGGGUAGUC
This 465-nucleotide ribosomal RNA is filed under the name uncultured Klebsiella sp. Its description in RNAcentral is "bacterial SSU rRNA". It matches the Rfam family "Bacterial small subunit ribosomal RNA", at positions 338 to 795 of the family's 1533-position model. The record is from RNAcentral. Lineage: Bacteria; Pseudomonadati; Pseudomonadota; Gammaproteobacteria; Enterobacterales; Enterobacteriaceae.